Molecule: ribosomal RNA, 484 nt
Filed under: uncultured bacterium
Lineage: Bacteria
Description: partial 16S ribosomal RNA
Rfam family: Bacterial small subunit ribosomal RNA
Source: RNAcentral
GAUGAACGCUGGCGGCGUGCCUAACACAUGCAAGUCGAGCGAACGGACGAGAAGCGCGCUUCGCUGAUGUUGGCGGCGGGCGGGUGAGUAAAAUGAGGAUACCCUACCUAUAGGACUAGGAUAAGUAAGUGGAACCGAAGCUAGUACCGGACAAUAUUUGGAACGGCAUGGUUCAAAAGUGCAAGCGGGUCUUGCUGACCCUUAGUCAUGUUAGCUCGUUGGUGUGGUAAGGGCUUACCAAGGCGGCGAUGCGUAGCCGAUCUGAGAGGGUGACCGGUCACACUGGAACUGAGACACGGUCCAGACUCCUACGGGAGGCAGCAGUAGGGAAUCUUGCGCAAUGGGCGAAAGCCUGACCGAGCAACGCCGCGUGAGUGAAGAAGGUCUUCGGAUCGUAAAACUCUGUUAGUAGGGAAGAACGUAUGUAUAAGUAACUGUGCCUAUCUUGACGGUACCUACAGAAAAAGCACCGGCUAACUACGUG